This 468-nucleotide ribosomal RNA is filed under the name uncultured bacterium. RNAcentral's name for it is "partial 16S ribosomal RNA". It matches the Rfam family "Bacterial small subunit ribosomal RNA", at positions 28 to 523 of the family's 1533-position model. The record is from RNAcentral.
GAUGAACGCUGGCGGCGUGCCUAACACAUGCAAGUCGAGCGAUUCUCUUCGGAGAAGAGCGGCGGACGGGUGAGUAACGCGUGGGUAACCUGCCCUGUACACACGGAUAACAUACCGAAAGGUAUGCUAAUACGAGAUAAUAUACUUUUAUCGCAUGGUAGAAGUAUCAAAGCUACGGCGGUACAGGAUGGACCCGCGGCUGAUUAGCUAGUUGGUAAGGUAACGGCUUACCAAGGCGACGAUCAGUAGCCGACCUGAGAGGGUGAUCGGCCACAUUGGAACUGAGACACGGUCCAAACUCCUACGGGAGGCAGCAGUGGGGAAUAUUGCACAAUGGGCGAAAGCCUGAUGCAGCAACGCCGCGUGAGCGAUGAAGGCCUUCGGGUCGUAAAGCUCUGUCCUCAAGGAAGAUAAUGACGGUACUUGAGGAGGAAGCCCCGGCUAACUACGUGCCAGCAGCCGCCGUAA